This 773-nucleotide long non-coding RNA is filed under the name Sinocyclocheilus grahami. RNAcentral's name for it is "lncRNA (ENSSGRG00000043634.1)". The record is from RNAcentral. Lineage: Eukaryota; Metazoa; Chordata; Actinopteri; Cypriniformes; Cyprinidae.
GUUCUCUGUUUAUUACAGAGCAAAAGAAGGGAGGGGAAGAGUGAGCGAAUGAGGGAGGGUGGAACAGAGGUAGAGAGAUUCACACAGCAUAGCCAUCACUGGGUAGACAGCAUCCUUCCGAAACACACUCACGAGCAAACAAAAAGAGGCUAAACACAUCAGAAUCCUUUCAGACGACAACAGAACACAGUCCUUCAACAGAGAUGGGGCCCGGAUUGUUCUGGAACUUCCCAUCCAAGACUAGCUGCGCGGUUCCACAGAGCCUGCUGCAGACAAUGUUGCUCUCCAGGAUGGCUGGCAUAAAGGAUCAGCAGUUCACUGAAGAGAAACCGCUACUGCCAGAAUCCAGGGGACAGGAAACAGAGAUGGCUAAAGGACAGUGUGUGCACGCGCUGCCCUGUGCUACGCCAUCCCCCCCCACGGCUCGCCCCCCAAAACGCUGGCAUGCCAUCGCCCAACACUGGCUCGGCCUGACACGCCGUCGGACCAGCGGGUACUUCCCGGUAGGCUAAUUACCGCACAGAGCAUGUCCACGCUUCCAACUAAAAGAUAGUCAUUUUUCUCAAGUCCUUUGUUACCAUAUCUCUGUUAGAAAAGACCAAACAAGGCCUAAUAUUUUCUCUCUCCCCAAGUCUCAUUCUCUAAAAACCCAUUCUGUUUCACAUAGCCUACUGUCUGAUUUGGGGAAAAAUUACAGAUUUGAAAUUGUGAUGCAACAUAAAAAUGUUCUUUUUGGCACAAUGUUUAUAUUUAAACACACUGCUAAUUAACAG